GGAAGGAAGGGAGGGAGGGAGGAAGGAAGGAAAUACCAAGUGCUAGAGGGGGAGGAACUAGGACUCUCAUAUACAGCGGAUGGGAGGGUAAAUUGGCAAAACCCCUUUGGAAUGCUAUUUGUCUGUAUCUACUUAGGCUGAUGCCUUUGGGGUAUGAGUCCACUCCCACAUAUAUACAACAGAAAUGCACACAGAACUUCACCAAAGUGCAUAUUCUUGGACAUUCAUAACAGUAAUAUUUAUAUUGGCAUCAAACAGGAAAUUACCCAAAUGUUCAAUAAUGCAAUAGAAAAAUGAUGGUAUCUUCCCAAAAUGGAAUAUUAUCCAAAGUGAUUUAAAAGCAACACAGCUAGGUAGCACAAUGUGAAGGAAUUUGAUAAACCUUACAUUGAGUGAAAGAGGCUCAGCUACAGAAAUUGUCAUAGUGUAUGCUUUCAUUUUUUUAUCAUUUGGAUGGUGUUAUGGGUUGAAUGUUAUUCCCCCAAAAAAAGACAUGUUGAAGUUCUAGCCCUCAGUACCUGAGAAAGUGAACUUCAUUGGAAAUAGGGGCGUUGCAGAUAUAACUACUUACAGUGAAGUCAUACUGAAGUAGGGUAGAACCUUAAUCCAAUAUGACUAGUGUUCUAAUAAGAAAAGAGCCACAGAGGUACAGACACACGGGGAGAAUGGCAUAAAAUGAUCAUAAAAGCAAAGAUUGAAGAGCUGAAGCUCAAAGCUAAGGAACACCAAGAAUUUCUGGAAAACCACCAGAAGCUAGAAAGAGGCAGUAAAUGAUUCUCUCCUAAAGGGUUCAGUAGAAUCAUAUCCUUGACUUUGGGACUUCUAACCUCUAGAACUAUAAUAAAUUUCUAUUAUCUUAAGCUACCCAAUUUGUGGUGAUUUAAACACCCACCUUGUUUGCUAUAGCUGGUCUAGAAAACUAACACAGAGAGAAAAAAAAUCUGUGCUUCUAAAAGUAAGGAUAUAGUUACCCUUGGUAGUAUGAAUGGUAUCAAGAAAGAGGCAUGGGGUGUUUGUGAACAUUUAUUUAUGUAUGUUAUAUUUAAUGGAAAGUUAACACACGGAUGUUUAGGGACUUCUGGAUUAUGGUUGGGACAGAUUCUCUUAGAAGGAGACCUGUACAUACAGAGACACCUGUCAAGUGCACUAACAAAUAAUAUUGAUAACCUACUAUGUGCCAAACAACACAGUGAUCAGCCAACUUCACCUUUGAUCUCUAACCUGGAGUUCCUUUGUUUUCAUUUAAGAGUAGCUCAUGAGGGCUGUGGUUGUGGCUCAAUGGUAGAGCACUUGCUUAGCAUGUGUGAGGCACAGGGUUCCAUCCUCAGCACCACAUAAAAAUAAAUAAAAUGAAGGUAUUGUGUCUGUCUACAACUACAAAAAUUUUUUAAAGAGUAGCUCAUGAUUUCUGCACAUAUCUGCCUUCCUAGUAACCAACUGUCAGUGAAAUAUUCUCUAACCAGUGGGGCUGAAUGGAGAUGUGAUUGUGUAGGCUCUGGGCACAGCCUGCUUGGACUCAGCCUGUGGCUUAACCACUUUAGAGUUGUGUGACCUUAAGUCAACUACUUAGCUCCUUUGCAGCCUAGUUUCCUCAUCUAAAAAUGGGCAUAGUAAUGGUACCUAUACUUCAUAGAAUCUUUUCAGACUAAAUCAGUUAUUCCAUGAAAAGUACUCCACUCACUAAAUGCUGCCUGUUAUGAUAUUUUAACCAUCUCACUGUUACAUUAACAUCUAAUGACAGAUCUCCCCACUGUUUCCAAUGUCCAGCUUCCCUCUACAUGCAAAAAUAUGGGGGAAUUACUUCCCUGUUACUUAUUUAUUUUUACGGAGAAAUAAUUUACGUAUAACAAGAUGCACAGUUAUUGUUAUGGGAUGGAUUCCUCCCCCACCCCCAACAACAACAAAUUUCUAUGUUAGCCCAGUACCUUAGAAUGUAACUGUACUUGAAGAUAGAGCCUUUAAAGAAGUAAUGAAGUUAAAAAGAGAACAUUACCUUGGGUGCACUCCAAUAUGACAGGUGUCCUUAUAAAAAGAGAUUAGGACACAGAAAGGGAUGACAAUAUGAGGGCACAGUGAGAUGAUGGCCAUCUGCAAGCCAAGGAUAGAGGCCUCAGUGGAAUUCAACUCUGUCAAGACCUUGAUCUUGGACUUCUAGCUCCCAUACCCGUGAGAAAGGUUUUACAUGAUCCUUUAUAGUCUAGUCAAUGCCCUCCAAGCUCCAUAAGCAACCAUUUUCUGACUUCUAUCACCAUAGAAUAGUUUUUCUGGUCCAGAACUUCAUAAAAGUGAAAUUGUGUAGUACAUAUUUUUGUAUCUGACUUUUUUUGCUCAAUGAAACAUUUUUUGGUGUGCAUCCAUAUUGUUACAUGAAUUGUCAAUUUAUUCUUUUAAAUUGUUG
Molecule: long non-coding RNA, 2398 nt
Filed under: Marmota monax (woodchuck)
Lineage: Eukaryota; Metazoa; Chordata; Mammalia; Rodentia; Sciuridae
Source: RNAcentral